AACCAGACAAUUUCCCACUUAUUUAAACACCAUGUCCUAGAGGAGUACAUGCACUCUUCUCCACAAAUAACAAAGCAUUUAGCAAACAGAUCCAAAGCCUUUUCUUGCUUGUAUUCAUCCUUGUCAAACAAAGGAUUAAGAGUAUGGCAGCCAAGUCUUCACUGAAGCUAGCUCUUUUAGUUGCUCUCCUGAUAGUUGUAUCUUAUUCGCAGAUGGUUGCUGGUGAUUUUGUUAACAGGGGACCCAUAGUUUCUUUCGCUUGCACACAGGAUGCAGAUUGCGUAGGUAAGAAAUGCCCGUGUGAUCAACGCUGCACUUGUCAAGCAAAGACAUGUACGUGUGCUCAACAUCCUGAAGAAAUAUCGGGACGUUGAUUAUUACUAGUGAUGAACUAAACCGGAUGUGUGCUUCUUCUCAUCAUUAAUAAAAUAUACCUUUACUAUAUAA
This is a long non-coding RNA of Ricinus communis (castor bean), 447 nucleotides long. RefSeq lists it as uncharacterized. The record is from RefSeq and is a predicted model, not a curated record. The transcript has 2 exons. NCBI's taxonomy places the organism in Eukaryota, Viridiplantae, Streptophyta, Magnoliopsida, Malpighiales, Euphorbiaceae.